GGUAAAGUGGCUGAUAAUAGCAUUAGACUGUAAAUCUAAGAAUGAAGGUUUAAGUCCUUCUUUUGCCA
RNAcentral lists this transfer RNA (68 nucleotides) under Arctocephalus forsteri (New Zealand fur seal). RNAcentral's name for it is "tRNA-Tyr". It matches the Rfam family "tRNA". From Rfam's summary of the family: Transfer RNA (tRNA) molecules are approximately 80 nucleotides in length. The record is from RNAcentral. Lineage: Eukaryota; Metazoa; Chordata; Mammalia; Carnivora; Otariidae. RNAcentral also lists the same sequence under 3 other names.